Molecule: long non-coding RNA, 431 nt
Organism: Schistocerca nitens (vagrant locust)
Lineage: Eukaryota; Metazoa; Arthropoda; Insecta; Orthoptera; Acrididae
Exons: 3
Source: RefSeq, a predicted model, not a curated record
CAUGAGUACUGUGGUGGUGUGCCCGUCCAUUUUGAACUACCUGAUUCUGGGCUUUCAGGCACGCUUUCUCAUCGGUGGGCAACUAUUUCUGUGAGCAAGUGAUGUCUAGCGGGUUCAGGAUUGUAUCCUUGCUGUGAUACGUGAACCUCCUUCCCAGCCUGAGCAUCACCUGUGCGAUGAGGUAUUUGUCUGCUGCGACACGUCAGGUACUGUACAGAGCACGAGUGGCUGCCAGACACCUGCCUAUCCACUGCAAUUUACUUCGGGCCAAGAAUACAUUCCCGGUGACUUCCAUUUUCCACUGAGAAAGGAUAUCUGAAAAAUCGGAUAUCCAUGCUCCCACUCUUAAGUCUGAAGAAAAAUUUUGGACAACCUGCAAAAUCAGAAAUAAGUGGUUGGAAAACUGGACAAAACUAUGAAUAUUUACUUCA